CCUACGGGCGGCAGCAGUGGGGAAUAUUGCACAAUGGGGGAAACCCUGAUGCAGCGACGCCGCGUGAGUGAAGAAGUAUUUCGGUACGUAAAGCUCUAUCAGCAGGGAAGAAAAUGACGGUACCUGACUAAGAAGCCCCGGCUAACUACGUGCCAGCAGCCGCGGUAAUACGUAGGGGGCAAGCGUUAUCCGGAUUUACUGGGUGUAAAGGGAGCGUAGACGGCAGCGCAAGUCUGGAGUGAAAUCCCAUGGCUUAACCAUGGAACUGCUGUGGAAACUGUGCAGCUAGAGUGCAGGAGAGGUAAGCGGAAUUCCUAGUGUAGCGGUGAAAUGCGUAGAUAUUAGGAGGAACACCAGUGGCGAAGGCGGCUUACUGGACUGUAACUGACGUUGAGGCUCGAAAGCGUGGGGAGCAAACAGGAUUAGAUACCCCAGUAGUC
RNAcentral lists this ribosomal RNA (440 nucleotides) under uncultured bacterium. Its description in RNAcentral is "partial 16S ribosomal RNA". It matches the Rfam family "Bacterial small subunit ribosomal RNA", at positions 338 to 795 of the family's 1533-position model. The record is from RNAcentral.